AAAUGAAUAAGAGGUCCUGCCUGCCCUGUGACCAUGAGUUCAACGGCCGCGGUAUUAUGACCGUGCGAAGGUAGCGUAAUCACCUGUCCCCUAAAUAGAGACCUGUAUGAAUGGCAAGACGAGAGCUUAACUGUCUCCUUUUUCAAGUCAAUGAAAUUGAUCCUCCCGUGCAGAAGCGGGAAUAUGACCAUAAGACGAGAAGACCCUGUGGAGCUUUAGACACUAAGACAGAUCAUGUUAAAACUUCCUAAUAAAGAACCAAAACUUAAUGAACCCUGUCCCGUAUGUCUUCGGUUGGGGCGACCGCGGAGAAACAAAAAACCCCCGCGUGGACUGGGAGCACAAUUCUACUCCUACAAACAAGAGCUUCCGCUCUAACAAACAGAAUUUCUGACCAAAAUGAUCCGGCAACGCCGAUCAACGAACCAAGUUACCCUAGGGAUAACAGCGCAAUCCCCUUUUAGAGCCCGUAUCGACAAGGGGGUUUACGACCUCGAUGUUGGAUCAGGACAUCCUAAUGGUGCAGCCGCUGUUAAGGGUUCGUUUGUUCAACGAUUAAAGUCCU
RNAcentral lists this ribosomal RNA (565 nucleotides) under Petilipinnis grunniens. RNAcentral's name for it is "partial 16S ribosomal RNA". It matches the Rfam family "Bacterial large subunit ribosomal RNA", at positions 1839 to 2597 of the family's 2925-position model. The record is from RNAcentral. Lineage: Eukaryota; Metazoa; Chordata; Actinopteri; Sciaenidae.